RNAcentral lists this long non-coding RNA (393 nucleotides) under Triticum aestivum (bread wheat). RNAcentral's name for it is "long non-coding RNA (TAES_LNC016650)". The record is from RNAcentral. Lineage: Eukaryota; Viridiplantae; Streptophyta; Magnoliopsida; Poales; Poaceae.
GAGAAUACAUUAUUUUUUUCUUACCUUUGACUUUGGAUCUCGCCGUCUUCGUCCAAGAUGUAAAAGGAGGAUGGCCUGGGCAGCGACUGUGGUGCGUCGGGAAAGGGCGGAUGGUGCAGUGCAUCAGUACCUUUGAAUACCACAAUCUCAGCUAAGAGGAAAACAUAGAUUAUGGAUUUACGAGGGCAAACAUAUCUAGAGAGUGGAAAUGGCGGCGAUGGAUGGAGAAGAAGAUAGUUAGAUCUAGACAAUGUUCAUGGUUGACGGUGGAGGAGAAGAUAGUUAGGUCUAAGGAGUGGUGGUGGCGGCGACGAGUGGAGGAGAAUAUGGUUAGAUCUAGACAAUAUUGAUGGUUGCAGGUGGAGGAGAAGAUAGAUGGAUCUAGAUAAUGUU